GGUUGUUUGACAAGAAGAUGAAGGGUGGAAUGAGUUUGUUUGUGAUUCAUCCAUGAAAGGCAAGAUUCACAGCCACAGUCAGACCAUCUAUUGGCUUUCCGAUAGCUGACUCUCGGAAUCUGGUGGUUGAGUUAUGUCAGAGUGACAGUAGCAUGAAGAGUUUCUACCUUCCAAGAGUCCGUCGAGGAGUCUGAAGAUUAAGCACAUUACGACGUCGAGAAUGUCUAGCAAUAAGAAGACGGGUAGACUGGCCGCAGAAAUCAAGGUUUCUGUGAUUCUUGAGACCCAUUCCGACAUCUGCAGAGAGAGAGGUGGACGACCGUCGGUUGACACUUAGUCUUGGAAUAUUGGAUAAGUAAAUUCGAAGUUGGUCGAUGCUUGCACAUCCACGGCUAUCCACGCGACACGUGGCCAGUUUUCUUUCCUUUUGUUUUACUUAUUUUAACAUUUUAAUGUUGUUUGGAUUGGGUACGCAAUUGAUCAAUUACACGAGGGUUAGAUGCCCCUUUGAUGUA
Non-coding RNA from Salvia hispanica, 515 nucleotides. The record is from RefSeq and is a predicted model, not a curated record. NCBI's taxonomy places the organism in Eukaryota, Viridiplantae, Streptophyta, Magnoliopsida, Lamiales, Lamiaceae.